AUUCAGCUGAUGAGUCUCAAAUAAGACGAAACACAUGUCGUGGAU
Molecule: non-coding RNA, 45 nt
Filed under: Schistosoma haematobium
Lineage: Eukaryota; Metazoa; Platyhelminthes; Trematoda; Strigeidida; Schistosomatidae
Source: RNAcentral